Molecule: non-coding RNA, 2584 nt
Organism: Zonotrichia albicollis (white-throated sparrow)
Lineage: Eukaryota; Metazoa; Chordata; Aves; Passeriformes; Passerellidae
Source: RefSeq, a predicted model, not a curated record
GCCUUUACUGGCCUGCAUUUUGCACCACAUGCUAUAUUAAUGGAACAGCUCCUCUCCCAGCUUGCUCUGAGGAUGACCUGGUGAUGGGCACCAAAAGCAAGAAGGCUGGGCAGACAGAAAGAGAGAAGUGUGAAAACUGAGGAGAACACAUAAAUAUCUAAAUAAAUACAGUCUCUUCUCCUGGCUUUGGUUUUCCAUCCUGCCCGUGGGCUUGUGUUUGAGACAUUACAGUCUGUUGCCAUAGCACUUGUCCUGGUACCAAAGGGCCAGCUAACUGGUGUUUGCAUCAAGGCAAGUUAAUAAAAUUAUAUUCUGCUGAUGACCAAAGGACAAAAAUUACCUUUUGCUUUUUUCCCUUUUUCAAGCAGAGAGUCAGGGACUAAAGGAUAAAAGGGAUGCAGAAGUUUCUAGAACUAAGUAAAGCCAUGCAGUCAGGUCAGCUUAGUUUUUGCAUUUAUUUCAUCAGAAUUCAGCCCUUUUCUAUUCUAGUUUAUUCUAGAUGAAAUUUCAACCCUUCUACCAGCCCCACUGUAGCUCUCAGCACUUCCCAGGGGUUUGGGGUUGUUGGGAAGAUGUAAUGGAAUGUUUCUUGGAGUAGUAGAAGUGCUUCUUGCAGCAGGUCUCACACUCAGCAGAGCCUGCUGUUCUCUGAAGGAGCUGAUAUCAUCUAUUCCUGCCCAGUUCUCCAACAACUGGAGUGAUUUCAGUCUGAGCAGGCAAAGACAUCUUCCACAGUGUCUGCUGUGUCAGUGCUCAGGGUAUCAGAGGCUGCUUACCAUUUCUUGGGUUUCUUUUCUUUCAGGCCUUGUGAAAAUUGCUGAUUUUGUGAGAAGCAAACUGUAAAGGAGAUCUGCUUGUUUAUACAGAGACCAGCUGGCAGUCCACCACACCAUAUCACACGAUACCAUACCGUACCAUACCAUACCAAGCGUACCUCAUCUCAGAAAGUGUCUGAACAAGUGACACCAGGGUAACCCUGGGCCUCUAGACACAGCAAGUAAUAGUCAAUAUAAGUGAAUAGUGGGCCACAGAAGCCAAAUGAAUUAAAAGACAGUUCAUCUGCUCUCAUUGCUGACAGAAUAUUAGAGGAGGAAUAAAAAAUCUAUUAUUUAGUCUUGCAACACUGAUUUGCUAAUAAUUUAUUGCUUAUGGUGUAUCCCAUGCAGUCAGCAGAGUAUGGCUCAGAGAGGCACUUAUGAUGUUCAACAGGAAAAAAAGGAAUUUGCAUUUUGAAUGCUGAUGUUACAGGUUCCCCCUUACUCUGGAGAAGAAAUAUACAGGGAGCAUUAAAUCAUGCAGCACUUUUAGGCAUUUUUCUCUCCUUCCUUGUGACAGCAAUAUUAAGUUGUUCAGUUCUGUGGGAGUUAUUAACACCUUCAGAGUCACGCUUAGGGCUGGAGGUGCUGGAAAGGAGAAGAAUAAUGGAAUAUCCUCAAGAACACCACAGAAAGAAUGGAAUCAAUUUUCUUGAACAAAGACAAGGAUUCUUAGGCUCUGAGUCACACAUCAUGAAUUUCUGAAGUGUCACAUUUAGAUGGAGGAGAGAGAAUUACACUGGGACAUGAAAAAAUGCCUGUUUGACUUCUUAAAGAGAGAAGGCUUAAGCUUUGUAAGACAUGUGGUACAGAAGAUUGUUCUGACAGGCUUGUGCUGUAUGGAAGGUAGAGAUCACUGCUUUCAUGCUUCAGGGGAAAGCCUCAGCAGCACAGGACAGAGUUGGUGUGGCUGUUACCAAUGUUCAUCCUACUUAGCAAGCCAAGAUAAGACUUCAGAAUCACUCAUUGAUCCGUGACUCUGAAAGGGACUUUUUCAAGAGUGGAAACACCUUGAUUCAUCCUGCUGUAGUCUUUGUGAUGCUGGGCAUGCUGUGGUCAUCAUCAAGGUUCUCGUUUGCUGCAGCUUUGGACUGGAGGAUGCUGGUGACCACACGUGGAGGAUCAGAACCUAACUGAUACCAGUGUUGCCAGUCUAGAGAAGAUACCGACUAAAAUAGCAGCCUCUCUUAUGAAUGAUGAGUUUGGUGUGAUUGAGAGCUGCCCAGCAGUACAGCCACGCUCUCUUCCUGUGACACAGAGCACAUGAAUACCCGAAUGUGGAGCUGAAAAAGAAAGAAUGGCUGGGAUGAAGGGAAUUUCUGCAAGUCUCUACUCUCUGCACCUGGGUAGGAAACAACAGAGCUGGAGUAAUUGUUCAGUGCCCAGUGGUGAACAGAAAAGCAGGUUUUUAGAAGCUAUGAGGAAAAGGAGAGGGAGAAGCUCUACUGUGCCUGCCUCUUGCAUUAAUGAUGUGAAUGAAUGGAAGUACUGGAAAUGUGAAUAUUCUUAGUCCACCUGAGAACCAGUGGCAGAAUUUGCUCCAUAUUUCACACUCUGGUCCAGGCACCACUUGCUCCAGCAGUCUGAUUUCAGGCUCACCAGAGCCAGGGGCUUGUCAUCCCUUAGCCCUUCACAGGUAUACAGGGGCCUUCAAAACUGAAGAAAGCUGUGAACUCACAGACAUCUCUGGUCCACUCUGCAGGCUUUUACAUACAUCAAGAGAAAGAGGAAAAAUAUUUUACAGCAAACCAGAAGUGUCCUAAAUUAAG